This 460-nucleotide ribosomal RNA is filed under the name uncultured bacterium. RNAcentral's name for it is "partial 16S ribosomal RNA". It matches the Rfam family "Bacterial small subunit ribosomal RNA", at positions 338 to 795 of the family's 1533-position model. The record is from RNAcentral.
CCUACGGGAGGCAGCAGUGAGGAAUAUUGGUCAAUGGCCGGAAGGCUGAACCAGCCAUGCCGCGUGAAGGUCAGUGCCCUAUGGGCGUUAAACUUCUUUUGUGCGGGAGCAAUAAUGGUCACGUGUGGCCAGACGAGAGUACCGUACGAAUAAGCAUCGGCUAACUCCGUGCCAGCAGCCGCGGUAAUACGGGGGAUGCAAGCGUUAUCCGGAUUUCUGGGGUUUAAAGGGUGCGUAGGCUGGGAGGUAAGUCAGCGGUGAAAUGCCCCCGCUCAACGGGGUGAGGUGCCAUUGAUACUGCCUGGCUGGAAUGCGGAUGCGGUGGGAGGAAUGUGUGGUGUAGCGGUGAAAUGCAUAGAUAUCACACAGAACACCGAUUGCGAAGGCAUCUCACGAAUCCGCGAUUGACGCUGAUGCACGAAAGCGUGGGUAUCAAACAGGAUUAGAUACCCUGGUAGUC